UAAGGAAUAUUGGUCAAUGGACGCAAGUCUGAACCAGCCAUGCCGCGUGAAGGAUUAAGGCCCUCUGGGUUGUAAACUUCUGUUAUAGGGGAAGAAAUGUGACGGUUCUCCGUCACUUGACGGUACCCUGGGAAGAAGCACCGGCUAACUCCGUGCCAGCAGCCGCGGUAAUACGGAGGGGGCAAGCGUUAUCCGGAUUCACUGGGUUUAAAGGGUGCGUAGGUGGGCAGAUAAGUCAGUGGUGAAAUCUUCCGGCUUAACCGGGAACCUGCCGUUGAUACUAUUUGUCUUGAAUAUUGCGGAGGUAAGCGGAAUAUGUCAUGUAGCGGUGAAAUGCUUAGAUAUGACAUAGAACACCAAUUGCGAAGGCAGCUUACUACCCAAUCAUUGACACUGAGGCCCGAA
RNAcentral lists this ribosomal RNA (405 nucleotides) under uncultured bacterium. Its description in RNAcentral is "bacterial SSU rRNA". It matches the Rfam family "Bacterial small subunit ribosomal RNA", at positions 355 to 757 of the family's 1533-position model. The record is from RNAcentral.